AGCUUUUCGAAUCCGUGCUGAGAUUUCAUCCGAUACCAAUCCAUUAGGGCUGAUCAGACUUCCAAGAUGAGUGAAGUU
This is a non-coding RNA of Schistosoma margrebowiei, 78 nucleotides long. The record is from Rfam. NCBI's taxonomy places the organism in Eukaryota, Metazoa, Platyhelminthes, Trematoda, Strigeidida, Schistosomatidae.